This 253-nucleotide ribosomal RNA is filed under the name uncultured bacterium. Its description in RNAcentral is "partial 16S ribosomal RNA". It matches the Rfam family "Bacterial small subunit ribosomal RNA", at positions 524 to 776 of the family's 1533-position model. The record is from RNAcentral.
UACGGAGGGGGCUAGCGUUGUUCGGAAUUACUGGGCGUAAAGCGCACGUAGGCGGAUUGUUAAGUCGGGGGUGAAAUCCCGGGGCUCAACCCCGGAACUGCCUUCGAUACUGGCAAUCUUGAGGUCGGGAGAGGUGAGUGGAAUGGCGAGUGUAGAGGUGAAAUUCGUAGAUAUUCGCCGGAACACCAGUGGCGAAGGCGGCUCACUGGCCCGAUACUGACGCUGAGGUGCGAAAGCGUGGGGAGCAAACGGG